This 353-nucleotide unclassified non-coding RNA is filed under the name Hevea brasiliensis (rubber tree). The record is from RNAcentral. Lineage: Eukaryota; Viridiplantae; Streptophyta; Magnoliopsida; Malpighiales; Euphorbiaceae.
CUGACAGGAGAUGCAGAGGGUGUUCUGUAUCUUCGAGCAAAUGAAUAACGCUCACUAAAACCACGCCCCCUUCUGAUGCGCUUAGGAGAACCUUCUGGAGAAACACUUCUUGAUGCACUUCUCCCUCUAUCAGAAGCCGGUGACCUUGGCCUUCGGACAGGAGUAAGACUCCUAGAGUAGCUCCUUCGAUUCCUAGCUGGUGCCCGAGGACUUCGACUGAUACUCCUCCUAGAAGGUGCCCUACCUGAGCUCCUGCUCAAACUCUGACGAGAGGACCUCACUGGACUUCUGCUUACGCUUCUGGAAACUCUUGCAGGACUCCUACUAAUUGAUUUUCUAGAGGCUCUUCUAGG